CCUACGGGGGACAGCAGUGAGGAAUAUUGGUCAAUGGGCGCGAGCCUGAACCAGCCAAGUAGCGUGAAGGAUGACUGCCCUCCGGGUUGUAAACUUCUUUUAUAAAGGAGUUAAGUGAGGCACGUGUGCCUGUUUGUAUGUACUUUAUGGUUCCAGAUCGGUUAACACCGUGUCAGCAGCCACGGUAAUACGGAGGUUCCGAGCGUUAACCGGAUAUAUGGGGUUUAAAGGGUGCGUAGAUGGGUUGUUAAGUCAGUUGGGAAAGGGUGAGGAUCAACCGUAAAAUUGCAAUUGAUACUGGCAGUCUUGAGUGCAGUUGAGGGAGGCGGAAUUCGUGGUGUAGCGGUGAAAUGCUUAGAUAUCACGAAGAACUCCGAUUGCGAAGGCAGCUUACUAAACUGCAACUGACACUGAUGCUCGAAAGUGUGGGUAUCAAACAGGAUUAGAUACCCUAGUAGUC
RNAcentral lists this ribosomal RNA (460 nucleotides) under uncultured bacterium. RNAcentral describes it as "partial 16S ribosomal RNA". It matches the Rfam family "Bacterial small subunit ribosomal RNA", at positions 338 to 795 of the family's 1533-position model. The record is from RNAcentral.